UACGGAGGGUGCAAGCGUUAUCCGGAUUCACUGGGUUUAAAGGGUGCGUAGGCGGGCAGGUAAGUCCGUGGUGAAAUCUCCAAGCUUAACUUGGAAACUGCCGUGGAUACUAUUUGUCUUGAAUAUAGUGGAGGUGAGGACGUAAUAUGUCAUGUAGCGGUAGAAAUUGACUUAGAUAUGAACAUAGAAACACCCCAUUGCGAAGGCAGCUCGCUACACUAUUAUUGACGCUGAGGCACGAAAGCGUGGGGAUCAAACAGG
This 261-nucleotide ribosomal RNA is filed under the name uncultured bacterium. Its description in RNAcentral is "partial 16S ribosomal RNA". It matches the Rfam family "Bacterial small subunit ribosomal RNA", at positions 524 to 776 of the family's 1533-position model. The record is from RNAcentral.